GGGGCCGACAUGGUUUCGACGUGGAUUACAAAGCAUUGAGGGCAUACCGAGGACCCGUCAUCUCGUAAAACAAUGGGAAUGUAAUAACUGCUAACGACGAACGUUACGCACUAGCAGCUUAAUUGCUGCAGCCCCUGAACUGAUUCUCUCUUGGGUCAGGUAGCGCAAGCUACAUCAGGGUCAUUUACAAGAGAUAAGGUUGCAUAGUGUCGUGAUGUGCAGCUCGAAAAUUAAACGAAUCGCCAGUUUGUAACGUGUUGGUCCGUGACAGGUUGGUUAAAUCAAAUGACACAACUAAGUAUGUAGAACUCCAUGUGGAGGAUUUGCGGACGCGGGUUCGAUCCCCGCCGGCUCCACCA
RNAcentral lists this transfer-messenger RNA (359 nucleotides) under Polynucleobacter victoriensis. Its description in RNAcentral is "Standard tmRNA". It matches the Rfam family "transfer-messenger RNA". From Rfam's summary of the family: Bacterial tmRNA, also known as 10Sa RNA or SsrA, is named for its dual tRNA and mRNA-like properties. Its role is to liberate the mRNA from a stalled ribosome. Lineage: Bacteria; Pseudomonadati; Pseudomonadota; Betaproteobacteria; Burkholderiales; Burkholderiaceae. The record is from Rfam by way of RNAcentral.